UACGUAGGGGGCGAGCGUUGUCCGGAUUUACUGGGCGUAAAGAGCUCGUAGGCGGUUCGGUAAGUCGAAUGUGAAAUCUCCACGCUCAACGUGGAGGGGUCAUUCGAAACUGCCGUGACUUGAGUACGGUAGGGGAGUGUGGAAUUCCCGGUGUAGCGGUGAAAUGCGCAGAUAUCAGGAGGAACACCGGUGGCGAAGGCGGGUCUCUGGGCCGGUACUGACGCUGAGGAGCGAAAGCGUGGGGAGCAAACAGG
This 254-nucleotide ribosomal RNA is filed under the name uncultured bacterium. RNAcentral describes it as "partial 16S ribosomal RNA". It matches the Rfam family "Bacterial small subunit ribosomal RNA", at positions 524 to 776 of the family's 1533-position model. The record is from RNAcentral.